AGUGAACGCUGGCGGUAGGCCUAACACAUGCAAGUCGAGCGGCAGCACAGUAAGAGCUUGCUCUUACGGGUGGCGAGUGGCGGACGGGUGAGGAAUACAUCGGAAUCUACUUUUUCGUGGGGGAUAACGUAGGGAAACUUACGCUAAUACCGCAUACGACCUACGGGUGAAAGCAGGGGAUCUUCGGACCUUGCGCGAUUGAAUGAGCCGAUGUCGGAUUAGCUAGUUGGCGGGGUAAAGGCCCACCAAGGCGACGAUCCGUAGCUGGUCUGAGAGGAUGACCGCCCACUCUGGAAGUAAAACACGUCCCAGCCCCCGAGGGAGGGACGCAGGGGGAAAGUUUGAACAAGGGGCGAAAGCCUAAUCCACCCAUCCCGGGUGGUGAAAGAUGGCCUUGGGUUGUAAAACCCUUUUUUUGGGAAAAAAAAAGAAGCAGUUAAACACCCCGUUGUCCGGCGGUCACCAAAAAAAUAGCCCCGGACAACCUUCGUC
RNAcentral lists this ribosomal RNA (492 nucleotides) under uncultured bacterium. RNAcentral describes it as "partial 16S ribosomal RNA". It matches the Rfam family "Bacterial small subunit ribosomal RNA", at positions 29 to 508 of the family's 1533-position model. The record is from RNAcentral.